CCCGAAACCAGGUGAUCUACCCAUGUCCAGGGUGAAGUUCAGGUAACACUGAAUGGAGGCCCGAACCCACGCACGUUGAAAAGUGCGGGGAUGAGGUGUGGGUAGCGGAGAAAUUCCAAUCGAACCUGGAGAUAGCUGGUUCUCCCCGAAAUAGCUUUAGGGCUAGCCUUAAGUGUAAGAGUCUUGGAGGUAGAGCACUGAUUGAACUAGGGGUCCUCAUCGGAUUACCGAAUUCAGUCAAACUCCGAAUGCCAAUGACUUAUCCUUAGGAGUCAGACUGCGAGUGAUAAGAUCCGUAGUCAAGAGGGAAACAGCCCAGAUCGCCAGCUAAGGUCCCAAAGUGUGUAUUAAGUGGAAAAGGAUGUGGAGUUGCUUAGACAACUAGGAUGUUGGCUCAGAAGCAGCCACCAUUUAAAGAGUGCGUAAUAGCUCACUAGUCGAGUGACUCUGCGCCGAAAAUGUACCGGGGCUAAAUACACCACCGAAGCUGCGAAUUGAUACCAAUGGUAUCAGUGGUAGGGGAGCGUUCUAAGUGCAGUGAAGUCAGACCGGAAGGACUGGUGGAGCGCUUAGAAGUGAGAAUGCCGGUAUGAGUAGCGAAAGACGGGUGAGAAUCCCGUCCACCGAAUGCCUAAGGUUUCCUGAGGAAGGCUCGUCCGCUCAGGGUUAGUCAGGACCUAAGCCGAGGCCGACAGGCGUAGGCGAUGGACAACAGGUUGAUAUUCCUGUACCACCUCUUUAUCGUUUGAGCAAUGGAGGGACGCAGAAGGAUAGAAGAAGCGUGCGAUUGGUUGUGCACGUCCAAGCAGUUAGGCUGAUAAGUAGGCAAAUCCGCUUAUCGUGAAGGCUGAGCUGUGAUGGGGAAGCUCCUUAUGGAGCGAAGUCUUUGAUUCCCCGCUGCCAAGAAAAGCUUCUAGCGAGAUAAAAGGUGCCUGUACCGCAAACCGACACAGGUAGGCGAGGAGAGAAUCCUAAGGUGUGCGAGAGAACUCUGGUUAAGGAACUCGGCAAAAUGACCCCGUAACUUCGGGAGAAGGGGUGCUUUCUUAACGGAAAGCCGCAGUGAAUAGGCCCAAGCGACUGUUUAGCAAAAACACAGGUCUCUGCGAAGCCGUAAGGCGAAGUAUAGGGGCUGACACCUGCCCGGUGCUGGAAGGUUAAGGAGAGGGGUUAGCGUAAGCGAAGCUCUGAACUGAAGCCCCAGUAAACGGCGGCCGUAACUAUAACGGUCCUAAGGUAGCGAAAUUCCUUGUCGGGUAAGUUCCGACCCGCACGAAAGGUGUAACGAUUUGGGCACUGUCUCAACCAGAGACUCGGUGAAAUUAUAGUACCUGUGAAGAUGCAGGUUACCCGCGACAGGACGGAAAGACCCCGUGGAGCUUUACUGUAGCCUGAUAUUGAAUUUUGGUACAGUUUGUACAGGAUAGGCGGGAGCCAUUGAAACCGGAGCGCUAGCUUCGGUGGAGGCGCUGGUGGGAUACCGCCCUGACUGUAUUGAAAUUCUAACCUACGGGUCUUAUCGACCCGGGAGACAGUGUCAGGUGGGCAGUUUGACUGGGGCGGUCGCCUCCUAAAGUGUAACGGAGGCGCCCAAAGGUUCCCUCAGAAUGGUUGGAAAUCAUUCGUAGAGUGCAAAGGCAUAAGGGAGCUUGACUGCGAGACCUACAAGUCGAGCAGGGACGAAAGUCGGGCUUAGUGAUCCGGUGGUUCCGCAUGGAAGGGCCAUCGCUCAACGGAUAAAAGCUACCCCGGGGAUAACAGGCUUAUCUCCCCCAAGAGUCCACAUCGACGGGGAGGUUUGGCACCUCGAUGUCGGCUCAUCGCAUCCUGGGGCUGUAGUCGGUCCCAAGGGUUGGGCUGUUCGCCCAUUAAAGCGGUACGCGAGCUGGGUUCAGAACGUCGUGAGACAGUUCGGUCCCUAUCCGUCGUGGGCGCAGGAAAUUUGAGAGGAGCUGUCCUUAGUACGAGAGGACCGGGAUGGACGCACCGCUGGUGUACCAGUUGUUCUGCCAAGGGCAUAGCUGGGUAGCUAUGUGCGGAAGGGAUAAGUGCUGAAAGCAUCUAAGCAUGAAGCCCCCCUCAAGAUGAGAUUUCCCAUAGCGUAAGCUAGUAAGAUCCCUGAAAGAUGAUCAGGUUGAUAGGUUCGAGGUGGAAGCAUGGUGACAUGUGGAGCUGACGAAUACUAAUAGAUCGAGGACUUAACCAU
Molecule: ribosomal RNA, 2206 nt
Filed under: Bacillus cereus
Lineage: Bacteria; Bacillati; Bacillota; Bacilli; Caryophanales; Bacillaceae
Description: partial 23S ribosomal RNA
Rfam family: Bacterial large subunit ribosomal RNA
Source: RNAcentral